Long non-coding RNA from Pteropus alecto (black flying fox), 740 nucleotides. RefSeq lists it as uncharacterized. The transcript has 2 exons. Lineage: Eukaryota; Metazoa; Chordata; Mammalia; Chiroptera; Pteropodidae. The record is from RefSeq and is a predicted model, not a curated record.
CGCCGCGGUGCCGUUUGGCCCCGCGCCAUCCCGCCAUGCCCCGCCCCGCCCCUCGCCGGGCCCCUGCUCACCGCCGCUGCCCCAGCGAGCCAGGCGACAGCGGCUUCCCGGCAGGAAAUAAUGUUCUGGGUGAGGAAGCAGCUGGCAGGUACCAAGACCCAGCUUUCAGACACCAGCGCCCCAUGGCAGGGUUUGGAUCCUGGCACCAUCACCUGAGCCUCCCAGGGCCAGGCCCCUGGCUGUGGGGCUUUCCCGCACUCUAAGGGGUGAGAAGCCUGGGUCAGGGGACCUCUUGAACCCCAGCACUUUCCACCCCAACUCAAACCUCCCAUGUCCUGCCAACUCCCAGAAGUCCUGCCCCCUCACCUGGCAGGGUGAUGGUGCAGUUCUCAUCCUUGAGCUGCCAGGGGCCUGACUGGAGCUCUGGGGACUGGCUGGGAAAGACAGGCUCAGACUCUGAGCCCAUCACCUGUUCUCGAAUCCAAGCCUCAUAGGAAGCCACAGCAGUGAAGACUCCUGGCCGGUUCCUCCGUCCACAGCCAAAGCCGAAGCUGGUGAUUCCUGCCUGGAACCAUCGGCCGCCUUCCUCACAGACCAGGGGCCCCCCAGAGUCUCCCUGAUGAUAGAUGACUCAGUGUCAAGGGGUCAGCUCAGGGACACACCAGCUUAUCCUGGGCCACCUUGCAAAGUUUCUACACCUCUUCAUGUUGGUCCAACAUACAGCCACCUUCUCCUAGGAA